UAAUAAAACGAUAUAAUUAGGUUUUACUUUUUGUUCGAUAGAAUGAGAAAAAGUACUCGUUGCAAAGUUAUACUGUUAGGGCGCAACUGAGUAGUCUAAUGUUGUUCUGGUUUUCGUUCUUGUGAACGUUGACAUCGAUUUGUUCAAAAUUUACACUCUCGGGGCAUAAUAGAACUAUAUAAUUAGGUUUUACUCUUUGUUCGAUAGAUUGAGAAAAAGUACUCGUUGCAAAGUUAUACUGUUAGGGCGCAACUGAGUAGUCUAAUGUUGUUCCGAUUUUGGUUCUUGUGAACGUCGAAGAUUCGUUCCAAAUUUACACUCGCGGGGCAUAAUAGAACUAUAUAAUUAGGUUUUACUUUUUGUUCGAUAGAAUGAGAAAAAGUACUCGUCGCAAGUUAUACUGUUAGGGCACAACAGAGUAGUCUAAUGUAGUUCUGGUUUUCGUUCUUGUGAACGUUUACAUCGAUUCGUUCCAAAUUUACACUUUCGGGGCAUAAUAGAACAAUAUAAUUAGGUUUUACUCUUUGUUCGAUAGAAUGAGAAAAAGUACUCAUUGCAAAGUUAUACUGUUAGGGCGCUACUGAGUAGUCUAAUUUUGUUCCUGUUUUUGUUCUUGUGAACGUUGACAUCGAUUCGUUCCAAAUUUACACUGUCGGGUAAUAAUAGAACAAUAUAAUUAGGUUUUACUCUUCGUUCGAUAGAAUAAGAAAAAGUACUCGUUGCAAAAUUAUACUGUUAGGGCGCAACAGAGUAGACUAAUGUUGUUCCGAUUUUGGUUCUUUUAAACAUUGACAUUGAUUCGUUCCAAAUUUACACUCUCGGGGUAUAAUAGAAUGAUAUAAUUAGGUUUUACUCUUUGUUCGAUAGAAUGAGAAAAAGUACUCGUUGCAAAGUUAUACUGUUAGGGUGCAACUGAGUAGUCUAAUUUUUUUCCUGUUUUUGUUCUUGUGAACGUUGACAUCGAUUCGUUUAAAAUUUACACUCUUGGGGCAUAAUAAAAUAAUAUAAUUAGGUUUUACUCUUUGUUCGUUUGAAUGAGAAAAAGUACUCGUUGCAAAGUUAUACUAUUAGGGCGCAACUGAGUAGUCUAAUGUUGUUCCGAUUUCGGUUCUUGUGAACGUAGACAUCGAUUCGUUCCAAAUUUACACACUCGGGGCAUAAUAGAACAAUAUAAUUAGGUUUUACUCAUUGUUCGAUAGAAUGAGAAAAGGUACUCGUUGCAAAUUUAUACUGUUAGAGCGCAACUUAGUAGUCUAAUGUUGUUUCGGUUUUGGUUCUUGUGAACGUUUACAUCGAUUCGUUCGAAAUUUACGCUCUCGGAGCAUAAUAGAGCAAUAUAAUUAGAUUUUACUCUUUGUUCGAUAGAAUGAGAAAAAGUACUCGUUGCAAAGUUAUACUGUUUGGGCACAACUGAGUAUUCUAAUGUUGUUCCGGUUUUAGUUCUUGUGAACAUUGACAUCGAUUCGUUCCAAAUUUACACUCUCAGGGCAUAAUAGAACAAUAUAAUUAGGUUUUACUCUUUGUUCGAUAGAAUGAGAAAAAGUACUCAUUGCAAAGUUAUACUGUUAGGGCGCAACUGACUAGUCUAAUGUUGUACCGGUUUUGGUUCUUGUGAACGUUGACAUCGAUUCGUUUCAAAUUUACACUCUCGAGGCAUAAUAGAGCAAUAUAAUUAGGUUUAAUUUUUGUUCGAUAGAAUGAGAAAAAGUACUCGUUGCAAAGUUAUACUGUUAGGGCGCAACUGAGUAGUCAAAUUUUGUUCCGAUUUUGGUUCUUGUGAACGUUGAAGAUUCGUUCCAAAUUUACACUCGCGGGGCUUAAUAGAACUAUAUAAUUAGGGUUUUACUCUUUUGUCGAUUGAAUGAGGAAAAAGUACUCUUCUUAAGGGUAUACUGAUAGGGGCACAACAGACUAGUCUAAUGUUGUACUGUGUUUGGUUCUUGUGAAACGUUAACAUCGAUUCGUUUCCAAAUUUACACUCUCCGGUACAUUAAUAGAACUAUAUAAUUAGCUUUAAUUUUUGUUCGAUAGAAUUGAGGAAAAGUACUCGUUGCAAAGUUAUACUGUUAGGGCGCAACUGAGUAGUCAAAUUUUGUUCCGAUUUUGGUUCUUGUGAACGUUGAAGAUUCGUUCCAAAUUUACACUCGCGGGGCUUAAUAGAACUAUAUAAUUAGGUUUUACUUUUUGUUCGAUUGAAUGAGAAAAAGUACUCGUCGCAAGUUAUACUGAUAGGGCACAACAGAGUAGUCUAAUGUUGUUCUGUUUUCGUUCUUGUGAACGUUAACAUCGAUUCGUUCCAAAUUUACACUCUCGGUGCAUAAUAGAACUAUAUAAUUAGCUUUUACUCUUUGUUCGAUAGAAUGAGAAAAGUACUCGUUUCAAAGUUAUACUGUUUGGGCGCAACUGAGUAGUCUAAUUUUGUUCCGGUUUUGGUUCUUGUGAACGUUGACAUUGAUUCGUUCCAAAUUUACACUCUCGGCGCAUAAUAGAACUAUAUAAUUAGGUUUUACUCUUUAUUCGAUAGAAUGAGAAAAAGUACUCGUUGCAAAGUUAUACUGUUAGGGCGCAACAGAGUAGUCUAAUGUUGUUCCGGCUUUCGUUCUUGUGAACAUUGACAUCGAUUCGUUCCAAAUUUACACCCUCGGGGCAUAAUAGAACUAUAUAAUUAGGUUUUACUCUUUGUUCGAUAGAAUGAGAAAAAGUACUCGUUGCAAUGUUAUAAUGUUUGGGCGCAACUGAGUAUUCUAAUGUUGUUCCGGUUUUGGUUCUUGUGAACAUUGACAUUGAUUCGUUCCAAAUUUACACUCUCGAGGCAUAAUAGAACGAUAUAAUUAGGUUUUACUCUUUAUUCGAUAGAAUGAGAAAAAAUACUCGUUGCAAAAUUAUACUGUUUGGGCGCAACUGAGUAGUCUAAUGUUCUUCCGGUUUUUUUUCUUGUGAACGUUGACGUCGAUUUGUUCGAAAUUUACACUCUCGGGGCAUAAUAGAACAAUAUAAUUAGGUUUUACUCCUUGUUCGAUUUAACGAGAAAAAGUACUCGUUGCAAAGUUAUACAGUUUCGGCGCAACUGAGUAUUGUAAUAUUGUUCCGGUUUUAGUUCUUGUGAACGUUGA
Molecule: long non-coding RNA, 3113 nt
Filed under: Ananas comosus (pineapple)
Lineage: Eukaryota; Viridiplantae; Streptophyta; Magnoliopsida; Poales; Bromeliaceae
Description: long non-coding RNA (ACOM_LNC036841)
Source: RNAcentral